GGAUUGUUGAAGAUGGCCUCAGGAACCAGCACAGGGCCUGGUGUGUUGUACAUGGCCACAGCUAGCAGCACAGGGCCUGGUUUGGUGAAGAUGGCCUCGGCCAGAAGCGCAGGGCCUGGUGUGAUGUGAGUGGCCUGAGCAAGAGCCACAGGCCCUGGUGUGGUGUAAGUGGCCUCAGCCAGCAGCCACAGGCCCUGGUGUGGUGUAAGUGGCCUCAGCCAGUGCCACAGGCCCUGGUGUGGUGUAAGUGGCCUGAGCAAGAGCCACAGGCCCUGGUGUGGUGUAAGUGGCCUCAGCCAGCAGCCACAGGCCCUGGUGUGGUGUACGUGGCCUCAGCCAAAUCCACAGGCCCUGGUGUGGUGUAAGUGGCC
This is a long non-coding RNA of Astatotilapia calliptera (eastern happy), 371 nucleotides long. Lineage: Eukaryota; Metazoa; Chordata; Actinopteri; Cichliformes; Cichlidae. The record is from Ensembl.